AAUGAACGCUGGCGGCAUGCCUAACACAUGCAAGUCGAGCGGACAGACGGGGCGCUUGCUCCUCUGCCGCAAGAGGCGGACGGGUGAGUCAUACGUGGAUAACUUACCUGUAAGGCUGGCAUAAUUCCGGGAAACCUGAGCUAACACCGGACAAUAUUUUGAACGACAGGGUUCAAUAGUGAAAGACUGUUCUGCUGUGACUUAUAGCGGGAUCCGAGCCACAUUAGCUAGUAGGUAAGGUACAGGCCUUCCAAGGCGACGAUGCGUAGCCGAACUGAGAGGGUGAUCGGCCACACUGGAACUGAGACACGGUCCAGACUCCUACGGGAGGCAGCAGUAGGGAAUCUUGCGCAAUGGGCGAAAGCCUGACGGAGCAACGCCGCGUGAGUGAUGAAGGUCUUCGGAUCGUAAAACUCUUUUAUUAGGGAAGAAAAAAUGUGUAAGUAAAUAUGCACGUCUUGACGGUACCUACACAGAAAGCCACGGCUAACUACGUG
Molecule: ribosomal RNA, 497 nt
Filed under: uncultured bacterium
Lineage: Bacteria
Description: partial 16S ribosomal RNA
Rfam family: Bacterial small subunit ribosomal RNA
Source: RNAcentral